GCAGGGGAAUUAUGAUCUGGAAUAUGGUUUUCCUGGGCUGUGGCAUAAUUAUUGCCUUGGGACUAGACUGACUCCUGCAAUUUCCCCAAAUGUGGGAAAUGACUGC
Molecule: small nuclear RNA, 106 nt
Filed under: Notamacropus eugenii (tammar wallaby)
Lineage: Eukaryota; Metazoa; Chordata; Mammalia; Diprotodontia; Macropodidae
Description: U1 spliceosomal RNA (ENSMEUG00000018178.1)
Source: RNAcentral